RNAcentral lists this ribosomal RNA (345 nucleotides) under uncultured bacterium. RNAcentral describes it as "bacterial SSU rRNA". It matches the Rfam family "Bacterial small subunit ribosomal RNA", at positions 1 to 334 of the family's 1533-position model. The record is from RNAcentral.
GUGAGUAGUUCAGAGUUUGAUCCUGGCUCAGGAUGAACGCUAGCGAUAGGCUUAACACAUGCAAUCGGGGGGCAGCAUGAACAAAGCUUGCUUUGUUUGAUGGCGACCGGCGCACGGGUGCGUAACACGUAUGCAACUUACCCAUAAAUCGGGGAUAACCCGGAGAAAUUCGGACUAAUACCCGAUGGUAUUAAGAGAAGGCAUCUUCAUUUAAUUAAAGAUUUAUCGAUUAUGGAUAGGCAUGCGCAUGAUUAGCUAGUUGGUGAGGUAACGGCUCACCAAGGCGACGAUCAUUAGGGGUUCUGAGAGGAAGGUCCCCCACACUGGUACUGAGACACGGACCAG